This 468-nucleotide ribosomal RNA is filed under the name uncultured bacterium. Its description in RNAcentral is "partial 16S ribosomal RNA". It matches the Rfam family "Bacterial small subunit ribosomal RNA", at positions 28 to 507 of the family's 1533-position model. The record is from RNAcentral.
GACGAACGCUGGCGGCGUGCCUAACACAUGCAUGUCGAACGGAAAGGCCCUGCUCUUGUGUGGUGCUUGUGUGGCGAACGUGUGAGUAACACGUGGGUAACCUUCCCCUGACUUCGGGAUAACUUCAGUAAACUGCGGCUAAUACCGGUUAGUAGCUCCUGCUGCAUGGUGGGGGUUGUAAAGUUUCGGCGGUUGUGGAUGUACUCGCGGCUUAUCAGCUUGUUGGUCGGGUAGUGGCUUACCAAGGCUUUGACGGGUAGUCGGCCUGAGAGGGUGACCGGACACAUUGCGACUGAGAGACGAACCAGACUCGUACGGGAGGCAGCAGGAGAGAAUAUUGCAGAAUGGGGGGGAGCGUGAUGCAGGGACACCGCGUGCGGGAUGAGGGCAUACGGGUUGUAAACCGCGGUCGCGAGAGACGAAGCGUGAGUGACGUUAAUGGGUAAAGAAGCACAGGAUAACUACGAG